Rhagoletis pomonella (apple maggot) is the source of this 375-nucleotide long non-coding RNA. RefSeq lists it as uncharacterized. NCBI's taxonomy places the organism in Eukaryota, Metazoa, Arthropoda, Insecta, Diptera, Tephritidae. The transcript is spliced from 2 exons. The record is from RefSeq and is a predicted model, not a curated record.
AAUACCAAAAAUCAAACAACAAAAAGUAAAUUAGUACAACAACAGAAAACUAAAUAAUGGAAAAAAAAGAAAACGUAUAACCAAGUAUAAAUCUUGACGACUUAAGUAUUUAGUAAAGCGAUAGCAACCUGAAAAUAGUAUAAGAUAGUAAGUGUUAGAAAAACAAAAACAAAAGGACUUAUCAUUAUUACUAAAAUUAGCACGAAAAAAAAUAUAUAUAUAUAUACAUCUAUAUAUAUUUUACUAAAACUUAGAACAUGGUUAAUCAUCUGAUUAAGACCCUUAUAGUAAUAAGGUGAUGAAGUAAUUUGAAUUGUUAAAAAGGGGAAUUAAUGAGAAGCGGGUAACUGACAUUAGGGCUGAAGUUAGUAAGGA